This is an RNA transcript of Dreissena polymorpha, 3388 nucleotides long. It is a transcript of the gene named ubiquinone biosynthesis protein COQ9, mitochondrial-like, with no coding region annotated. The transcript has 10 exons. The record is from RefSeq and is a predicted model, not a curated record. NCBI's taxonomy places the organism in Eukaryota, Metazoa, Mollusca, Bivalvia, Myida, Dreissenidae.
GACAAUCCAACCUAGACGUAUAAUUUAUGUUUCACAUUAUAUAUAUAAUGUUGUACACCCUGACCUUCCCUAUAACAAAAUGGCGACUUCCAUGAAAUUGCUGAAAAGUUCGCGAAAUCUCUUUAAAUACUUUGUGGAGAGUCACAUGCGGACAUGCUGCAAUGUACGACACAUGUGCCAGAAAGCUGAAAGCCAAGCUGAGGGUUCUGAGGCUGGCGACCAUGUGAGUGAUGGAGAAGAGAUGGAAUAUGAGACCAGGCUGCGCAUCUUGCGCUCCUCCAUGGCAUUUGUACAUCAGCACGGCUGGACAGUGGACACACUCGCUGCAGGUGCGGAGGUGGAGGGUCUACCGGGCGUGGCCCACGGUCUGUUCCCCAGAGGUGGGGUUGAGCUGAUCUACCACUUCUACACAGACUGCAACAAGCAGCUUGCAAUGCAGCUGGCAGAGAGGGUGGCCCGGGAGAAGGAAUCCGAGCAGACCAACACACCGGGGAAGUCAAAGAUUACUCCAUUCAUCCGUGACGCAGUGGAGGCCAGGCUGAGGAUGAUCAUACCUUACAUUGACAGGUGGCCACAGGCUAUGGGUAUUCUAGCCCUUCCACCAAAUGCUCCACAAGCAUUGAAGAACCUGGGUGACCUUACAGAUGAAAUCUGGUACUACACUGGUGACACAUCUACUGAUUUUAAUUGGUACACAAAGCGAGCCACUCUGGGAGUUGUCUACAAGACCACAGAGGUGUUCAUGAUGCAGGACAAGUCAGACGACUAUCAAAACACCUGGGACUUCCUGGAUAGACGUAUGGGUGACAUCACCAGGGUGGGAAAACUUGUGAGAAAUGGUCAAGAAAUGACAUCUGUGCUUGGAGAGGCAUGUAAGGGUUUCACAAUAAUUGGAAGAAAUAUCUUGGGCGCGAACUCCGGAGCAAAGUGAUCUUUCAACAUAGUGUGGUCACAAUAUUUUGCCCUUUGAUCAGAGACUAUUUCUGUGUGUAAGACUUGUUCUUAUAGCCACUACAAUUGAGGCUAGUUCUGGUAAAAGUUGAUCCAUGCCUCAUUGUGAAGGUAUAUGUCAUCUUGUAGAUCUGACAGACAUUAUGUUAUACAAUUAUUUACUUACUCUUUGGAUAACUAAAAUGACUGUCGUAUACAGAAUACAUAUGAUUAUAUGUUAUUAUAGACGUAAUUUGCAAUUGUUUGAUUGUUUAUUAAAUGAAGGAUUAGUACUGAAUGCUUUUUGGCGAUGUAUAAGGUUUUAUAAGCAGUUUUCACACAAAGACGAACAAAAUGUUUGGUCUACACCAUUCCAUGCAACAUUAAAGUUUCUUACAUGCAAUCUUCAUAUGAGAAUAAAAUUAAUACGUCAGUGCAGGCUUGAUGUCAAGGACACUUAACCUUUUACCACUUUUUUUAUUUAUGAUUUUUUAUGAAUUUUUAGUCCCUAAGAAAGUUAAAUAUAAUUAAAGACCUUACUAGAUUCAAAUUCAAUUCCAACCGUACUGAUGAGUGGCAAACAGCAAAAAAAACUUUACAGGCUGCGGUUCACUCGCAGGCUGUUCUGGUUUUAUGCUGUUUGCACAUAGCCAUUUUCACUUUGUUUCUGAGUGGGAAAGGGUUAAUGGUAACAUGUUUGAGCCUCCAUAUGUUUGCACGCUUCGUAUUUCCUUAACCUUUUAAAGGGUUGUCAUGAAACUUGACUAACAUGUUUAGGACAUGAUAGGAUAUGCAGAAUGCAUUAGUCAGCUACGCAGUCACACUUGAAUAUCAUAAAAAGUCACAGCAUGGGUUAUGACUGCCUCGUUUAAAAUAUUUUAUAUAUGAUAAAAAAGAAAAUAAAAAUUUGCUAUUUCUCAAGUCAACUGUCAUUAAUGCUAUGUUCCCAGCGUGCACACAUCUGGUGAUCCUCAAGAGACACAUUUUUAAUUUAAUUUAGUUUCAUUUGUUCUCAUAGUUUCUUGAAGGAUGCUAAAAAUAUUGAAGCAUUAUGUAAUGAUGUAAUAUUUAUUACAUAUAAUGAUCUACAAAUACACAUUGAUUAGUACAAGUAACAAGGGCUGUUUGUAAAACAUGCAUGCCCCCCAUAUGGACUGUCAGUUGUAGUGGCAGCCAUUGUGUGAAUACGGUUUUUGUCACUUUGACCUAGUACUUGAAAAUCGAUAAGGGUCAUCUGCCAGUGAUGAUCAAUGUGCCUAUGAAGUUUCAUGAUCCUAGGCGUAAUUAUUCUCGAGUUAUCAUUAGGAAACCAUUUUACUGUUUUGAGUCACUGUGACCUUGACCUCCGUCCUAUUGACCUGAAAAUUCAUAGGGGUCAUCUGCCAGUCAUGAUCAAUGUACCUAUAAAGUUUCAUUAUCCUAGGCGUAAGCAUUCUUGAGUUAUCAUCCGGAAACCAUUUUACUAUUUCGAGUCACUGUGACCUUGACCUAGUGACCUGAAAAUCAAUAGGGGUCAUCUGCCAGUCAUGAUCAAUGUUCCUAUUAAGUUUCAUGAUCCUAGGCGUAAGCAUUCUUGAGUUUAUAUCAUCCGGAAAUCAUUUUACUAUUUCGAGUCACUGUGACCUUUACCUUUGAUCUAGUGACCUGAAAAUCAAUAGGGGUCAUCUGCCAGUCAUGGUCAAUGUACCUAUGAAGUUUCAUGAUCCUAGGCCUACGCAUUCUUGAGUUAUCAUCCGGAAACCAUUUUACUAUUUCGAGUCGAUGUGACCUUGACCUUUAACCUAGUGACCUGAAAAUCAAUGGGGGUUAUCUGCCAGUCAUGAUCAAUGUAUCUAUGAAGUUUCAUGAUCCUAGGCCUAAGCAUUCUUGAGUUAUCAUCCAGAAACCAUCUGGUGGACGGACUGACCGACCGACGGACCGACAUGUGCAAAACAAUAUACCCCCUCGUCUUCGAAGGGGUGCAUAAAUAUAAUAAUGUUUCUGUGUGACAAAAAUAUAACUGCUGUAUAACACCAUUUAAACUUAAACCAUCUAGACAAUAAAAACAACAAAGUACACAUGGACUGUACACAAGAUCACAUUUCACACUUAAACCAUCAGUUUUCAAACAGUCAUCCUGAGGUGCAAGGACCAUACAUAAUCAGAAUCCAGCUCUGCAAAGUUUAAAAUGAAUACAAAUUUAGAUUGUUACAUUACAUGUAAAGGGUAAAAUGUUUAUCGACUUUACUUUUCGUUUUUUAUGCCCCUGGUAGGAUGGCAUAUAGCAGUUGCACCGUCCGUCUGUCUGACCAUCACACUUUUGCGUUUAGGUUUCGAAAAAUGCUCAUAACUUCUAUGUCCAUUCAGAUGUAACCUUCAUAUUUGGUAGGCAUGUGUAUAUGGACAAGGCCCUUCCAUACGCAUACAAAUUUUGACCUUGACCUUAGGGUCCGCGUUUAGGUUUCACAAUCUGGGUUUA